GUCAGCAGCAAGUGUACUCCUCUCUUCUUCAUGGUGUUCGUUCUGUGUAUGAGACACUCAGAAGAUGGGAAAACACUGAAAAUGGUCCAGCAGAAGGUGAUUACACCAAUGUCACAUCUGUGAUUCAGCUCAAAGUCAUUAACAAGACAAGGCAACGUGGUGACCCAGAGGAGAGCUCUGACUACAAUGAUGUCAAUCCAAAUUCAGCAUCAGCUUUAACAUGAAGCUAAAAAGAAGCUUGUAAGUUCAAACAGGAAGAUCUGUAAUCACAUGUGUCUGCUUCACAUCACUUCCACUUUCUCAUGCUGUCAAGCUCAAUGUGACAUCACUGGUCUUGUCCAAUCAUCUUUCUGCGAGUCUGUUCAGCCCAAUCAGC
Long non-coding RNA from Oreochromis aureus, 376 nucleotides. The record is from Ensembl. Lineage: Eukaryota; Metazoa; Chordata; Actinopteri; Cichliformes; Cichlidae.